UACGGAGGGUGCAAGCGUUAUCCGGAUUCACUGGGUUUAAAGAGUGCGUAGGCGGUUCGGCAAGUUGGAAGUGAAAAUCCGGGGCUCAACCUCGGAAUUGCUUUCAAAACUGCUGAUCUAGAGUAUGGUAGGGGAUAGUGGAAUUCCUAGUGUAGGAGUGAAAUCCGUAGAUAUUAGGAGGAACACCAGAGGCGAAGGCGACUAUCUGGGCCAUUACUGACGCUAAGGUACGAAAGCGUGGGGAGCAAACAGG
Molecule: ribosomal RNA, 253 nt
Filed under: uncultured bacterium
Lineage: Bacteria
Description: partial 16S ribosomal RNA
Rfam family: Bacterial small subunit ribosomal RNA
Source: RNAcentral